This 236-nucleotide long non-coding RNA is filed under the name Vigna radiata. RNAcentral describes it as "long non-coding RNA (VRAD_LNC011166)". The record is from RNAcentral. Lineage: Eukaryota; Viridiplantae; Streptophyta; Magnoliopsida; Fabales; Fabaceae.
GCUAGGACUUCCUGCUAUUCUCACCACAUGAUUCAUUACUCUCUACUUGAGCAUGGAUGAUCAUUAGAAUGUCAGGAUAAACCCCAUAAGGACACUCUGGCCAUUCAUACGGUUAAUCACAACAAACCAUAGGGCACCACCAUGUAACCUCCCUUGAGGAUCAUGGAAUUAUGUCCAUCAACCAUACUUCCACUUUAAAACUUAACUCAAGACAACAACAAGCAAAUACCAUAAUA